UUUUUCACAUUUUUAUUUCGAUUUUAUUUUUGUGGUUUAGAUUUUAUUUUAAAUUGUUAAUAUUUUAGUUUUUAGUAGUUUUCAAAAUUAAGAAAAAAAUCAUAAAAUAUCUCUCUCCUAUCGAAUCACCAUGUGACACUUGGCUUUUUUUUUUUUUUUUUAAAUUUGGUUAAUUUAGACGAUGAAAUAUGAGACAUGUGGCCUUGAGAUAUUUUUUUCCUCUUUUUCUCCUCUCCCACGUUUUCUUUCCUUGUC
This 255-nucleotide long non-coding RNA is filed under the name Lathyrus oleraceus (garden pea). RNAcentral's name for it is "Pisum sativum (pea) long non-coding RNA (PSAT_LNC001073)". The record is from RNAcentral. Lineage: Eukaryota; Viridiplantae; Streptophyta; Magnoliopsida; Fabales; Fabaceae.